UCCGUAGGCGGACUAAUAAGUCAGGGGUGAAAUCCAACAGCUUAACUGUUGAACUGCCUUUGAUACUGUUAGUCUUGAAUUAUAUGGAAGUAGAUAGAAUGUGUAGUGUAGCGGUGAAAUGCUUAGAGAUUACACAGAAUACCGAUUGCGAAGGCAGUCUACUACGUAUAUAUUGACGCUAAUGGACGAAAGCGUGGGGAGCGAACCGGAUUAGAUACCCUGGUAGUCC
This 229-nucleotide ribosomal RNA is filed under the name uncultured bacterium. RNAcentral's name for it is "partial 16S ribosomal RNA". It matches the Rfam family "Bacterial small subunit ribosomal RNA", at positions 568 to 796 of the family's 1533-position model. The record is from RNAcentral.